This 882-nucleotide long non-coding RNA is filed under the name Piliocolobus tephrosceles (Ugandan red Colobus). RNAcentral's name for it is "lncRNA (ENSPTEG00000028064.1)". The record is from RNAcentral. Lineage: Eukaryota; Metazoa; Chordata; Mammalia; Primates; Cercopithecidae.
UUAAUUAUACCACAAAAUCAUAGCCCUAUAAAACAAUGACAAGGUUACAAAUCUGUCUGUAAAUAGUAAGACUCAAUGGUGGCAUUAAUGCCAAUGUCCGAAAUUACUAUAGAAACUCUCAAAUAACACUGUUAUCCUUGUAAAUGCUUCCUUAUAAAGACUGCAGUGGGUGCCUACUUCUUCGGGGAAGAGAACUGGACAUUAAAAGAAAUGUUCUGCCUGCAUAAGCUUCCAAUCUACCAAACGGAAGCUGAAACCCCGCCCAGCGAACCCGCCCGGUUGCCCCGAACUUGCCUCCCGUCACGCAAGCUGGAAAGCGACUGGGGGCGGAGCUAAGGGGAGCGGCAAGAAUUCCGGAAAUAUGACCGGACUGGGCGGGGCCUGUUCCUUGGCCUUACGCUCCCGUUGGCGCCGCAUCCUGUCACUAUUUCGCCAAACCUCCAGGCGCCGUCUGUGUGUGAACGGUUACACAGCUUGGCGCCGCGGGCGGAGAACUAUUGGCUAUGCUCAGGAUUCUGCACGCAUGCGUGGAGCUGGACCGUCAGCGUGCGAGUGACGUCACGUGCGCGCCCAUCUAAACUCUUCCUAGGGUUCUUUCUAACUGCGGCAGCAAGUUGUCAAAUUCCCUAGUUGAAUUUGCUUUGGACAUCAGUGUGAAGAAGAACUGAUAUGCCACUUGAAUUAAUAAAGGAAGUCAAUGGGGUGCCUGAAGUUCAGCCUCUGAGUAAAUUACGUAAAGUAGAUUUCGGAUCCCUACAGCCAGGUUACAAUUAUAGCAAGAAAUAUAUUCAGGGAAAACUUUCACUUAUCUCUUUAACUUAUCGUGGAAAUAAAACAGCUGUUUUGCAGAUUGGACUACAAGGACACCAUUGCAGUGGCUAG